CACAGUGUAGCACAGUGGGUAAGGAACUGGGCUUGUAACCGAAAGGUCACAGGUUCGAUUCCUGGAGAGGACA
Molecule: transfer RNA, 73 nt
Filed under: Anguilla anguilla (European eel)
Lineage: Eukaryota; Metazoa; Chordata; Actinopteri; Anguilliformes; Anguillidae
Description: tRNA-OTHER
Source: RNAcentral